This 314-nucleotide long non-coding RNA is filed under the name Daucus carota (carrot). RNAcentral describes it as "long non-coding RNA (DCAR_LNC005258)". The record is from RNAcentral. Lineage: Eukaryota; Viridiplantae; Streptophyta; Magnoliopsida; Apiales; Apiaceae.
AGGUGAAGGUUUAUCCUGAUGGGUCUAACGAGGCUGUUGAGUUUGGAGCUGGGGACAUGGUUGUAUUUCCGAAAGGAAUGAGCUGCACUUGGGAUGUCUCAGAAACUGUGGACAAGCACUAUCUGUUUGAAUAGAAGUGAGAUUUAUGAACUAGCAAGGAGAUGGGAUAUGGCAUUAAAACUUUAGACAAAUAAGCCAUCCUCCGGGAUGAAGCCUAUAUGAAUAAUAUUAAUGUACUAGUAAAUAUGAUGUGUAGAGCAGUGAUCCACUAGUAAAUAUGAUGAAUUAUGCUAUUCAAGUAUCGAAUUAUGGAG